CGGUAAUUCCAGCUCCAAUAGCGUAUACUAAUGUUGUUGCAGUUAAAAAGCUCGUAGUCGGAUUUCAGUUAAUUGCACAGGAACCUAUUGAGUGAUUGCGCAAUCAACUUCUUUGAUGCAAAGCUUCAUCUGAUUAACUUCCGGUGCAAGUCUAGCAUCUCUUUUACUUUGAGAAAAUUAGAGUGUUCAAAGCAGGUUUAUGCCUGAAUAUUACUCUUGGAAUAAUAUUAUAGGACUUUGGUCCAAUAUGAUUGGUGUUGUUGGGCCGGAGUAAUGAUUGAUAGGGACGGUUGGGGUGAUUCAUAUUGCAAAGCGAGAGGUGGAAUUCUUGGACCUUUGUAGGAUGAACAACUGCGAAAGCAUUUCACUAGGACGUUCCCGUUGAUCAAGAACGAAAGUUGGGUCAUCGAAGACGAUCAGAUACCGUCGUAGUCUCAACCAUAAACUAUGCCAGCUAGGGAUGGGAAGUCGUUUUUUAUGACACUUUCCGCACCUUAUGAGAAAUCAAAGCAUUUGGGUUCCGGGGGGAGUAUGGUCGCAAGGCUGAAACUUAAAGGAAUUGACGGGAGGGCACCACCAGGAGUGGAGCCUGUGGCUUAAUUUGACUCAACACGGGAAAACUUACCAGGUCCAGACAUAGUAAGGAUUGACAGAUUGAACGCUCUUUCUUGAUUCUAUGGGUGGUGGUGCAUGGCCGUUCUUAGUUGGUGGAGUGAUUUGUCUGGUUAAUUCCGUUAACGACCGAGACCUCAGCCUGCUAAAUAGUAUUACUGUUUUAGGACAGUGAUAUCUUCUUAGAGGGACUACUUCGAACAUAAACGAGAGGAAGCUUGAGGCAAUAACAGGUCUGUGAUGCCCUUAGAUGUUCUGGGCCGCACACGGGCUACACUGGUGCAUUCAACAAGCUUUGCAAUGAUUGAUCGAAGGAUCUGUCUAACCUUUGAAUUUGCACCGUGCUUGGGAUAGACUUUUGCAAUUUUUAGUCUUCAACGAGGAAUUCCUAGUAAACGCAAGUCAUCAACUUGCAUUGAUUACGUCCCUGCCCUUUGUACACACCGCCCGUCGCUCCUACCGAUUGAAUGAUUCGGUAAGCAUUCAGAAUUUAGUUUUAUGUUCCCUUAUGGGGUGAUAACACUGGAAAAUUUAUUCAAACCUAAUCAUUUAGAGGAAGGAGAAGUCGUAACAAGGUAGCCG
This 1194-nucleotide ribosomal RNA is filed under the name uncultured Rhizaria. RNAcentral's name for it is "bacterial SSU rRNA". It matches the Rfam family "Eukaryotic small subunit ribosomal RNA", at positions 577 to 1805 of the family's 1831-position model. The record is from RNAcentral.